CGCCUGUUUAUCAAAAACAUAGCCUCCUGAACUUAAAGGAGGUCCCGCCUGCCCAGUGUAUCUUUAUAAACGGCCGCGCAAGUGCUAAGGUAGCGUAAUAAUUUGUCUUUUAAUUGAAGGCUAGUAUGAAAGGCAUAACGAGGCUCAACUGUCUCCAGAUGUAAAAAGAAAAUUUGAUUAAAAAAUGAAAAAUAUUUUAUAACUAUGAAGGACGAGAAGACCCUAUAGAGUUUCAGUAGAAAUUUCUACUUUUGUUGGGGCAACGACGAAAGAAAAACCUUCAUAAUCUAUGAUAAGACCUCAAAGAGUUUAAAAGUAAACUACCUUAGGGAUAACAGCGUAAUCUUACCAGAGAGAACACAUUAAAGGUAAGGAUUGCGACCUCGAUGUUGGACUAAGGCAAGAUUUAUGUGCAGAAGCAUAAAAAACUAAGCCUGUUCGGCUUACAUAACCUUACAUGAUCUGAGUUCAGUUCAGACCGGAAU
RNAcentral lists this ribosomal RNA (485 nucleotides) under Schizomavella sp. QY-2004. Its description in RNAcentral is "partial 16S ribosomal RNA". It matches the Rfam family "Bacterial large subunit ribosomal RNA", at positions 1797 to 2637 of the family's 2925-position model. The record is from RNAcentral. Lineage: Eukaryota; Metazoa; Bryozoa; Gymnolaemata; Cheilostomatida; Bitectiporidae.